UCAGAAUCUUCCUCCUCCUCCUUUUCUUCUUCCUUUUCUUCAACAUCUUCAUAGUCAUCAUCUUCAUCAUCCUCCUCCAUAGCUGGAGUUUCAGUUGCUCUAACUCCACUAGCUUAUGCCUGAUCAUCUAGCCAUCCCACCACAGUGUUAAACUCGUCCAUCGUCCACUGCCGUCUCGGGGGUGUAUCAUAUAUCCUAUGAUCAUCUCUGCA
RNAcentral lists this long non-coding RNA (212 nucleotides) under Vigna radiata. RNAcentral's name for it is "long non-coding RNA (VRAD_LNC013845)". The record is from RNAcentral. Lineage: Eukaryota; Viridiplantae; Streptophyta; Magnoliopsida; Fabales; Fabaceae.